This 253-nucleotide ribosomal RNA is filed under the name uncultured bacterium. RNAcentral describes it as "partial 16S ribosomal RNA". It matches the Rfam family "Bacterial small subunit ribosomal RNA", at positions 524 to 776 of the family's 1533-position model. The record is from RNAcentral.
GACAGAGGGUGCAAACGUUGUUCGGAAUUACUGGGCGGAAAGCGCGUGUAGGCGGCUCUGCAAGUCGGGUGUGAAAUCCCAUGGCUCAACCAUGGAAGUGCACUCGAAACUGCAGGGCUAGAGUCCUGGAGAGGAAGGUGGAAUGCUUGGUGUAGAGGUGAAAUUCGUAGAUAUCAAGCGGAACACCGGUGGCGAAGGCGGCCUUCUGGACAGUGACUGACGCUGAGACGCGAAAGCGUUGGGAGCAAACAGG